AAUCAUAAGGCGAUUGAUUAGCGGCCCGAAUCGCCCUUUCCUGGACUAUUCCGUCCUCAAACUGACCCCUUUUGCAUAAAUUAUCCCCUGCCUGCCACCGUAGCCGCGACUUUCUGCCGAUCCCCUGCGAACGCUUCACCAUUCCAUCUAUAGUAUAUACGAUGGGUGUUGCUACAUGGAUAACAGUGAAUCUUCUCGAGCUGAUAACUCCCUCUCACCACCAACCUCCGGAAAGGAUGUAUUUAUGAAAUGAUACUCCCCCUUGUCGACGAAUCAUCAUAACAUCACCCACCCCUUGCCCACAAGAUAGCACUCCUUCGUUCCAUAUCUGCCCUAUCGACUGUGCCACGAAAUAUAAAGGCCUACCAUACCUGCUACUGCCACCGACUAACAUUGGCUCGAAUCCAAAGAUCCCACCUAGAACACGCCUACCACCUCCAAUCAAUGGAGCUAUCUCGCAAAUUACCCUCUCCCUCCACAUCGAAGUAAAGCACAACAUAUCACUCCAUCCACUCUUAUCCGUCAUACACCUGCACCCAUAACAACUUAAAUCACCUAUCAAUCAACCAUUCCAUCCUAUGUCUGGAGCCGGCGACCUCCCCCAUGCCGACUCCAAUAACGCAUAUUGCUCCUCUCGUGGUGAAGCCCCUCCUACAAUUACCUUGAACCUCAGACCUUGCGACCAUACUCCCCCCAGAACUGACAUAGCUUGAUCUUUCGUCAUGUGACCAUCUAGUCCAAAAGAUAACAUCCACCGAUCCCUACUUCGAAUAAAUUAACAUGGUAAAACUACAAGCUCUAUCUACGCAAUAUCUUAUACCCGUAACCAUCAAUCUAUGACUAGCGAAAACUUCCUUGGUGGAUUGCUGUAGUCGACGUUAUGACUCACAAGGACAGACGAUGUUCACCUCUACUCUGAUGACUACAGUGCACCCUAUUGUCCCUAUUAUCAUUACGUCUAUUCAAACACUCACCAAAGAGACCGCACUACCAAUAACUAAGGCCAUGCUAACAAUACCAGGAGCGACCCUGGUUGCACACUCAAUUUUUCAAAAAAAGACUGUUCACUUUCUCUUAUCACUCAUCGCACAUAAAAAACUAAAGUUUUUCUUCCGGGAGAGACGCCCGACGGUCAAAGUCAAAUUGACUUUGCCCCCCCAUUGAAACCCUUUGAUUGAAUACCGGGGAUUGCCCGACUGCCUCAAUGUCCCAAGGAUCUAUUCCUCUCAGUGG
RNAcentral lists this ribosomal RNA (1233 nucleotides) under uncultured eukaryote. Its description in RNAcentral is "partial 18S ribosomal RNA". The record is from RNAcentral.